Molecule: unclassified non-coding RNA, 1417 nt
Filed under: Eurytemora carolleeae
Lineage: Eukaryota; Metazoa; Arthropoda; Copepoda; Calanoida; Temoridae
Description: uncharacterized LOC111695943
Source: RNAcentral
AUUUUUAGUCUUAUUUUUAUUUAGACGGAGUUAUGACUCGAGAAUCAGUUUUGAUUAAAGAAGCGUGGAUGAAGCAAGGAAUAAAUCCUCUAAGAUGUGACGCGAUGAUGCCGAACCAGGCUGCUUGCUGUCCUUUUAACAGAAAUAAAACAUCAGCGGUUGACCCAGGUCGGCAGUUUAUGCGGUUGGUAAUAAAAAAUGAUGGUAUGUGCUCGGUUGGAUCGACGGAAGUCAAUAAAAUUGAUCACUCGAGAUAUCAUCGAUCCAAGAAAAAGAAGUUGACAAAGGAACCUGAACACAUGUUUGAGAUGAGUAAACAGAGUAGAGACUUGAAGGAGAACCAGGGAAACCUGGAGUACAAUCGCAAAUCUUCUGACAUGAAUCUUCUCUCUGGCUCAGAACCAAGAAAUCAGGCAUAUAAUCCCUCGGACAAUCCCAGAAAAUUUCAGUUGAGGAACAUAGAGAGUUUGCUCCAGCAAUACAAUAAUGCACCAAGUUCUCCGGAGUAUGACAAACAGGAAUCAAUCCGUGAGCAGAUCUCCAGUCUAUAUGAUACCUGGGUAAGAAUAGCGGAUGGGUUCAGGCCAGACGAGAUAAGGAAGUGCGGAGACGAAACUAGGGACAGAGAACAGAAGUCGAAAAGGAAAGAGCAUAAUAAUGCGGAGAAAAUUAGAAGGAUUCAACAGGCUAAAUCUUUUAAAGAUCUAAGCUGUCUAAUACCAGACUUCUACAACAGUGGAAAGGAGCGGGACUUCCAAGAUAAGAAUCCUGACAGCAGCAAAGAAGCAUUGUCUUGUUCUUCAACGCACUCUCCAGGCUGUAGAAUUCGAACUGAAAUUAGAACAAAGAAGGAACUUGGAUCUCCUGGAAACUAAAAAACAAUUGAACCAGCUGGUUUAAAUGUGCAUCCAGUUUGAGGCUUUAGCUUUAAAAGAAUAAACAAUGAUUUUAAGCCACAAACUGUUUUCCGGAUUACUUAUGUAAGGAAGGGAACUGCUUUAAUUCUGUGAAUCAAACCAAUUGGUAAAUGUGAUUAAUAAACAUUGCAGUAGUCUGACAAAGUACCCUGUGGAGACUUAUAAGUUCGAUACUUAGAAUCCUAAAUGUAGAACUACUUUAUUUAGUAUUGAAAUAGUUUCUACUAUAAAGUAAUAGUAUUGAAAUAGUUUCUUUUACUUUAUAUUGAAAUAGUUGAAAUAGUGUUGAAAAAGAAAAUUUAGCAAUUAGUUCAAUAUUGAUAAUUUUUCCAGUUUAUGCUUUACUAACUGGAGAAGUGGAUUAAAGGCCUAAAAUCCCAACGACAUGUGAAUACUUACACAAUAUUUUUAAUUUGUAUCAUAAUUUGAUCUCACUUAGUAUUAUUUGCAUAGAGAAUAGAAUAUAUAUUAGAGAGGAAUUUAAAUAAUCUCUCGGUAUG